AUACGGAAGGUCCGGGCGUUAUCCGGAUUUAUUGGGUUUAAAGGGAGCGCAGGCGGAGAUGCAAGCGUGACGUCAAAUUUCGGGGCUCAACCCCGUCUCGCGUCGCGAACUGCGUCCCUUGGUUGCGGGAAGGGGAGGCGGAACUCGUGGUGUCGCGGGGAAAUGCAUAGAUAUCACGAAGAACUCCGAUCGCGAAGGCAGCCUUCCGGCCCGUCAACGACGCUCAUGCUCGAAGGUGCGGGUAUCAAACAGGAUUAGAUACCCUGGUAGUCCGCACAGUAAACGAUGGACACCCGCGGUUUGGCCUGUAUGGCUGAGCCGCCAAGCGAAAGCGUUAAGUGUCCCACCUGGGGAGUACGCCGGCAACGGUGAAACUCAAAUGAAUUGGCGGGG
RNAcentral lists this ribosomal RNA (393 nucleotides) under uncultured bacterium. RNAcentral's name for it is "partial 16S ribosomal RNA". It matches the Rfam family "Bacterial small subunit ribosomal RNA", at positions 523 to 918 of the family's 1533-position model. The record is from RNAcentral.